GAAAGGUAGAAGGAAGUAGGGAGCAAUCCAGAUGAUGUGAACAGCCAAUCAAAAGCCUUGAAAUGGGAGUUUGUGUGACAUUUUAGGAACUGUGAGAAAGGCAAGGUGGUAAAAACAGAGGAGUGAAGCGGGCAGGGUAGGAGAGGCUGCAGGGUAGACCUAGGCAAAUGAUGUAAGACCCAAGAAUUUAAUAAGCAUUCCUUAGUUUUUUAAUUCAUAUAAUACCAUACAAAUAUACACUCCACGAAAAACUGAAGGUAGGGGAGAAGAAAAGAAUAAAGCUAUUCUAGCAAAUUGCCCAUAGAUUAUCUGUUCUAAUUCUUACAACACUGUGAAUUCGAUAUUAUUUCCAUUUCAUAGAUGAAGAACUUGAUGCUUUGAGAUGUUAACAAAACUGCCCAAGAUCAUAUAACUAAUAAGUGAUAGAACUAAGAUUUGAAUUUCAAGUGUUUUACAUCUAUACAACUUGUAGAAACUGUCCUUGUAAUACCAUUUUGGUUUUGGCUUUUCAGUUAUUUCAGCUGUUUGAAAAUGGAAUUGCCUAUUUCUGUGCUGGCUCUUAAUUCUUUUGAAGUUGCUGGACUUUCAGGAAUUUGAAACCGUGUUCCCGCGUCCUCAUGCGGCCGACCACACCCGCCUUUCUUCACAUUCCCAGAAGCAAUCUUGUGCCUGAACCACACUCUUUUCUGGAAUUGGGGGAGGCGCCGUGGAGCCACCUUAGAGAACAUAGAGGAAGACAUGAAUUUAGGAUGGCUAAGCAAAAACAUGAAUGAGCAAGAGUCCUCAGUGCCAAAGGGCCUACGCAUCUGUUACUGAAGGGAGAUUAAAAAAUCUGUCUUACACUCUACUACUUAUUCCUAGUUGAAUAUACUUCUAACUAAUAACAUAAGCUGAGAAGAGGCACAGUGGUGUGUGAAGCUAGUUUUCAUUCGUUGAGAACACAGAAUAGAUUUUUAUCUGAUGGAACUGAUUGGACAAGAGGAAAAAAUAGUUAUAUUAACUAUACCAUUCAGUAAUUUAAUGAAUGUUUAUACAUCUAAAAUGUUUCAGUACCAAACACCUAUAUUUCUGAGCAAAUGUGGAUUUAUCUUUUCACCAGUGAGAGGUAAAUAAAUUUGGUCUGUGCCUAAUACUUUGAAAAAGCAUGCACAUCUACACUGGCUUUAACAUGUUAAAUUAAGAAAUAUGUUUUAAAAUAAGUCUAGAAGGUGGUGGUAUAGCAUAAUACUAAAGGAAGAAACUUGAGACCAGAAGAGGUCUGGAUGUGGGUUAGAGCUAUGUCACUGUGGUAGGCAGAAUUCUGAAUGACCCUCAUGAUCCCUGUCCCCUGGUUGUAUUCCACUUUCAUUGAAUAUAGAUAGAACCUACCCUAUAACCAGAUAUUAAUUGGUUGACUUUGAGUGCAUCAAAAUGGAGAAAAUCAAGGUGGAUCUGACCUAAUUAAUGAGCCGUUAAAAAAAAAAAAUGACAGGACCAUUUCUAGAGUCCGCAAGAGCGGAAGAGUUGUGGGAGGCCACAGUAAGGCUUGAGACAAGGACCAAACCAGGCCCUGACUUGUGCCUCCUUUAAAGUCCGAAUAACCUAACAAA
RNAcentral lists this long non-coding RNA (1589 nucleotides) under Mustela putorius furo (domestic ferret). Its description in RNAcentral is "lncRNA (ENSMPUG00000026638.1)". The record is from RNAcentral. Lineage: Eukaryota; Metazoa; Chordata; Mammalia; Carnivora; Mustelidae.